GGGGCUGUAGCUCAGUGGGAGAGUGCUUCCUUCGCAAGGAAGAAGUCGAGGGUUCAAAUCCCUUCAGCUCCACCA
RNAcentral lists this transfer RNA (75 nucleotides) under Synergistaceae bacterium. RNAcentral's name for it is "tRNA-Ala". It matches the Rfam family "tRNA". Rfam says of the family: Transfer RNA (tRNA) molecules are approximately 80 nucleotides in length. Their secondary structure includes four short double-helical elements and three loops (D, anti-codon, and T loops). Further hydrogen bonds mediate the characteristic L-shaped molecular structure. tRNAs have two regions of fundamental functional importance: the anti-codon, which is responsible for specific mRNA codon recognition, and the 3' end, to which the tRNAs corresponding amino acid is attached (by aminoacyl-tRNA synthetases). tRNAs cope with the degeneracy of the genetic code in two manners: having more than one tRNA (with a specific anti-codon) for a particular amino acid; and 'wobble' base-pairing, i.e. permitting non-standard base-pairing at the 3rd anti-codon position. Lineage: Bacteria; Thermotogati; Synergistota; Synergistia; Synergistales; Synergistaceae. The record is from RNAcentral.